This 377-nucleotide ribosomal RNA is filed under the name Candovia pallida. RNAcentral's name for it is "partial small subunit ribosomal RNA". The record is from RNAcentral. Lineage: Eukaryota; Metazoa; Arthropoda; Insecta; Phasmatodea; Lonchodidae.
UAUACAAUAAAUAUUAAUUAAUAUUAUUGGUUUAUGGAAGGGAUGGGUUAAAAUUUAUUUGAAUUUAAAUUAUUUAUUUUUAGGUGAAAUUUAAAUAUUCAUUAUGGUUUUAUCAAAAUUUCUUUGAAGUGUACUAUUUAAACUAGGAUUAGAUACCCUACUAUAUUAUAUCUAAAUAUUUAGGCCUGGGUAUUAUUAGUUAUGUUCUUUAAACCCAAAGAAUUUGGCGGUGUUUUAUUCUGUUUGGAGGAAUUUGCCCUUUAAUCGAUAAUCCCCGAUUUAUCUUACUUGAAUUUGUUUAUCAGUAUGUAUACCGCCGUUAUAAGUUUAUUUUAUUAGGAUUAAAAUUUACUUUAUUCAUAAUUAUGAAUUAUUUC